GAUGAACGCUGGCGGCGUGCCUAAUACAUGCAAGUCGAGCGAACGGACGAGAAGCUUGCUUUUCUGAUGUUAGCGGCGGACGGGUGAGUAACGCGUGGAUAACCUACCUAUAAGACUGGGAUAACUUCGGGAAACCGGAGCUAAUACCGGAUAAUAUUUUGAACCGCAUGGUUCAAAAGUGAAAGACGGUCUUGCUGUCACUUAUAGAUGGAUCCGCGCUGCAUUAGCUAGUUGGUAAGGUAACGGCUUACCAAGGCAACGAUGCAUAGCCGACCUGAGAGGGUGAUCGGCCACACUGGAACUGAGACACGGUCAAGACUCCUACGGGAGGCAGCAGUAGGGAAUCUUCCGCAAUGGGCGAAAGCCUGACGGAGCAACGCCGCGUGAGUGAUGAAGGUCUUCGGAUCGUAAAACUCUGUUAUUAGGGAAGAACAUAUGUGUAAGUAACUGUGCACAUCUUGACGGUACCUAAUCAGAAAGCCACGGCUAACUACGUG
Molecule: ribosomal RNA, 497 nt
Filed under: uncultured bacterium
Lineage: Bacteria
Description: partial 16S ribosomal RNA
Rfam family: Bacterial small subunit ribosomal RNA
Source: RNAcentral